This is a non-coding RNA of Mycena alexandri, 94 nucleotides long. Lineage: Eukaryota; Fungi; Basidiomycota; Agaricomycetes; Agaricales; Mycenaceae. The record is from the annotation of a GenBank genome assembly.
GCCUCUAUGGUUCAGUGUUAGAUCACCUCCGCUUCAUGAAGCGUGAAAUGCGAAUGUUUCGGAGGAGACGUAGGUUCGAGUCCUACUGGGUGCG